RNAcentral lists this unclassified non-coding RNA (217 nucleotides) under rhizosphere metagenome. RNAcentral's name for it is "partial ribosomal RNA internal transcribed spacer region". The record is from RNAcentral.
GUAGGUGAACCUGCGGAAGGAUCAUUAACAAAUCUAUUGUGAGUGCGGCAGUCCCCUAGGGGGCCGCUUGCACACAUACACCCUAGAGCGCAGCACUCCGGUGCCGCGCUUUAGUACGGUCAUUCUUCGGAAUCGACCACAUUAACGCUUGUUUGUUUGACAGAGUUAUCAUGACAACUAAAAUAGACAACUUUUAACAAUGGAUCUCUUGGCUCUU